GUUGACCUCGGAUCAGGUAGGGAUACCCGCUGAACUUAAGCAUAUCAAUAAGCGGAGGAAAAGAAACCAACAGGGAUUGCCCUAGUAACGGCGAGUGAAGCGGCAAUAGCUCAAAUUUGAAAGCUGGCCUUUGGUCCGCAUUGUAAUUUGUAGAGGAUGCUUUUAGGCAGCCGCCGGUCUAAGUUCCUUGGAACAGGACGUCAUAGAGGGUGAGAAUCCCGUAUGUGACCGGCUCUGGCACCUUCUGUAAAGCUCCUUCGACGAGUCGAGUUGUUUGGGAAUGCAGCUCUAAAUGGGAGGUAAAUUUCUUCUAAAGCUAAAUACCGGCGAGAGACCGAUAGCGCACAAGUAGAGUGAUCGAAAGAUGAAAAGCACUUUGGAAAGAGAGUUAAAAAGCACGUGAAAUUGUUGAAAGGGAAGCGCUUGCAAUCAGACUUGGACUUGGCUGUUCAACCGGUCUUCUGACCGGCCUACUCAGUCUUGUCCAGGCCAGCAUCAGUUUCGGCGGCCGGAUAAAGGCCCUGGGAAUGUAGCUGUCUCUUCGGGGGCAGUGUUAUAGCCCAGGGUGUAAUACGGCCAGCUGGGACUGAGGUCCGCGCUUCGGCUAGGAUGCUGGCGUAAUGGUUGUAAGCGGCCCGUCUUGAAACACGGACCAAGGAGUCUAACAUCUAUGCGAGUGUUAGGGUGUCAAACCCUUACGCGUAAUGAAAGUGAACGGAGGUGGGAACCCGCAAGGGUGCACCAUCGACCGAUCCUGAUGUCUUCGGAUGGAUUUGAGUAAGAGCAUAGCUGUUGGGACCCGAAAGAUGGUGAACUAUGCCUGAAUAGGGUGAAGCCAGAGGAAACUCUGGUGGAGGCUCGCAGCGGUUCUGACGUGCAAAUCGAUCGUCAAAUUUGGGUAUAGGGGCGAAAGACUAAUCGAACCAUCUAGUAGCUGGUUCCUGCCGAA
Molecule: ribosomal RNA, 949 nt
Filed under: Dothiora oleae
Lineage: Eukaryota; Fungi; Ascomycota; Dothideomycetes; Dothideales; Dothioraceae
Description: eukaryotic LSU rRNA
Rfam family: Eukaryotic large subunit ribosomal RNA
Source: RNAcentral